UGCAAGUCGAGCGAAGCACUUUGCUUAGAUUCUUCGGAUGAAGAGGAUUGUGACUGAGCGGCGGACGGGUGAGUAACGCGUGGGUAACCUGCCUCAUACAGGGGGAUAACAGUUAGAAAUGACUGCUAAUACCGCAUAAGACCACAGCACCGCAUGGUGCGGGGGUAAAAACUCCGGUGGUAUGAGAUGGACCCGCGUCUGAUUAGCUAGUUGGUAAGGUAACGGCUUACCAAGGCGACGAUCAGUAGCCGACCUGAGAGGGUGACCGGCCACAUUGGGACUGAGACACGGCCCAAACUCCUACGGGAGGCAGCAGUGGGGAAUAUUGCACAAUGGGGGAAACCCUGAUGCAGCGACGCCGCGUGAGCGAAGAAGUAUUUCGGUAUGUAAAGCUCUAUCAGCAGGGAAGAAAAUGACGGUACCUGACUAAGAAGCACCGGCUAAAUACGUGCCAGCAGCCGCGGUAAUACGUAUGGUGCAAGCGUUAUCCGGAUUUACUGGGUGUAAAGGGAGCGUAGACGGAUGGGCAAGUCUGAUGUGAAAACCCGGGGCUCAACCCCGGGACUGCAUUGGAAACUGUUCAUCUAGAGUGCUGGAGAGGUAAGUGGAAUUCCUAGUGUAGCGGUGAAAUGCGUAGAUAUUAGGAGGAACACCAGUGGCGAAAGGCGGCUUACUGGACAGUAACUGACGUUGAGGCUCGAAAGCGUGG
This 709-nucleotide ribosomal RNA is filed under the name uncultured bacterium. RNAcentral describes it as "bacterial SSU rRNA". It matches the Rfam family "Bacterial small subunit ribosomal RNA", at positions 56 to 764 of the family's 1533-position model. The record is from RNAcentral.